CGGAAAGCCUGACGCAGCGACGCCGCGUGUGGGAUGAAGGCCUCGGGUUGUAAACCACUGUCGGGAGGGACGAAGAUCUGACGGUACCUCCAAAGGAAGCACCGGCCAACUCUGUGCCAGCAGCCGCGGUAAUACAGAGGGUGCGAGCGUUGUCCGGAAUCACUGGGCGUAAAGGGCGCGUAGGCGGCCCGAUAAGUAGGGGGUGAAAUCUUGCGGCUCAACCGCAAGGCUGCCUUCUAGACUGUCGGGCUUGAGCACAGUAGAGGCAGGUGGAAUUCCCGGUGUAGCGGUGGAAUGCGUAGAGAUCGGGAAGAACAUCGGUGGCGAAGGCGGCCUGCUGGGCUGUUGCUGACGCUGAGGCGCGACAGCGUGGGGAGCAAACAGGAUUAGAUACCCUGGUAGUCCACGCCGUAAACGAUGGGCACUAGGCGUCGGGGGGAGCGACCCUCCCGGUGCCGUCGCUAACGCAGUAAGUGCCCCGCCUGGGGAGUACGGCCGCAAGGCUG
RNAcentral lists this ribosomal RNA (506 nucleotides) under uncultured bacterium. RNAcentral's name for it is "bacterial SSU rRNA". It matches the Rfam family "Bacterial small subunit ribosomal RNA", at positions 376 to 896 of the family's 1533-position model. The record is from RNAcentral.